GAGCCACAUCUCUCAGAGGCAGCGGGGAGGGUCGGGAAGGAAGUCUGUAGAACCGGGAUCAAGCAGGGCCUGGCUUCCGGUCUCAGACCCCAAGGGGCCUCUGGCGCUGAGCGUGUUCCUGUUUUACCCAGCUCGUUGGUGCAGAGCCACGAAUAAAGGGCAAAGAGGACAUCAGAGAAGCCUAUGCCACAGGGGGACACGGAGCCGGGGAAUCCUAACACUGGACGGUUUCCAUUCAGCGCCCCUCUGACCCAGGGACAGUUACCACCAAUCCCUUCCCUCGGUCUACACAUCUAUGAAAUGCAACCACUUAAGCCUCAUUUUCCUAAAGCGCAAAGGAAACCUGGACUGGCAUCGACCCACACCCCCUUCCUAAAGAGAACUCUGCCUCCCUCCCUGCGGCCCCAGCUGAACCCUGGACGGUGGCAGCCGUUUGUACCAGGUGGCAGGACCCCCGGCCAGGGCAGACGAGACCAGGAACGGAUAGUCGAUGGCAUCGGAUUCGGCCCCGACGGGCUCCGUGUGUGGUCUGAUGGCUGACAGCCGUGUGGGUCCACAACCUCCGCUGAAACUUUGGGGCCGGACGUAUUUCGAAAUUCAGAAUUUUCCCGACUUGAGAGAAACAGAGCCGUGGAGGUGCUGAAAAUCGUCUAACACCUUUGGUGGCAUCCGGGGCCACGUUCAGGGCCAAAUCCCUUAAAACGUGCAUGUUACUCUUCAUGUUUGGGGUGAGGGAAGCGAGGACCCCAAAUAUGCAGCUUCAGGCCAGUCAGGUUUGGCCCCCAGGGCAUUUGUAUAAGCUUAGUCUCUUUCUUAAAGCGCAGUUUCUGAGUUUUGGGGUUUCAGGAUCACUGGGGAGAUAACGAUGGAGCUGAUUUGUCCGGAGGUGCUGAGGGCCACUUUGCAUACCGUGUGUGAAUCUACUCCCGGCCCCCACGGACACAGCCCUAAAAUUACCUGAGGGGUGAGCUCUAUCUCGCAGAGGAAUGAACUGAGGGUGCCGGGAGGGAAAGUGACCUUGGCCAAGGGCACAGAUCUGGAGCAGUGGCGCUGGGGAUUUGAUCCCAUGUCCGUCUGGUGCCUUUGCUAAUGCCACUAUGGAGAAGACACCUGCCCUUGCUAUUAUUACCACAAUCAACAACAAAGACUGGCCGAGCUCUAACUGUGCCAGGCAGGCGCUCUGCCAAGCCAGGGAGGUGGAUUAUCUCGUGUUCAUCGACUGCCAUCUAGUUAAAAAUAAGCCACAUCGUCUGCCUCUGCCUGGGCCACACUGGUUUCCCAGCUGCCACAUUCUCCGCCCCCCGCCCCAUGCAGAGCUCCAAGGACGGCGGGGCUGACCAGUGCUGCAGGGGCGGCCAGCGAGGCCGGGCGCAGGGCUGCAUCCGCAUCAGCUUGUUGCGCGGCGGCCAGCGCCCUCCCAGCUUCGGGCAGCACCUCUGCCGCAGCCGUGCCCAGCGCCUUCUGGGCGGCCUGGACCUCCUGGUACCUGAGAGGAGACAGCAAAGGUGGCUCACAGGGCAGGGCACGGGGCUCUCCUUCCCCGUGGAUGUCCCCCCCCCCCCAACCGGAGCCCUCUGGCAACCUCCCAGGCAGACCUGCCCUCUGCAGGGUUGGCACCCAGCAGCUGGCCCCGAGACUGGCCGCUAACUUGGCCGCUAACUCCGCAGCUUUCGAAUGAAUGGAAAAGGCAGCAGAGGCACCACAUUGUUUCUUCACUCAUUCAAUUCAAACGCUCUCUUCUGAAGGGGCUUGGGCUUGGUUUCCACUCGAGAAUCAUAUGUUUUGCAAAUAUUUGGAGCCUCUGGCUGCAUCACGAAGAGGAAAAUGCCUAGUGUUGGAGAAGGGACAGCAGCCCAGGCCUCCGCCUUGGCUCGGCUGUGCCCUGGGGUGACCUUGGGUGUGUGGCUCUCCAGAUAAAUGGAUAGCCCUGGGCUCUGAAGACCCUUAGCUUCAAGGUGCUGUAGUUAACCACCUAGAACAGGUUUCCUGUCCCCUCCGGCUACCCACACCCUCCCCUCUCCGCCCAGCUCCACAGUGAGCACAGCUGGGACACAGACCCCCCCCCCUGCUGUCUCUCAUCCCUUCCCCACUUCUCAGAGAGCCUGUGCUCCCACCCCUGCCCAGGGAGUGGGUCAUGUGACCUCACCCACCCUACCCCCUGCCAGUGGGCUCAGGGCUGGCCACCUGAUCUGAGCUGGGCUAAUCACAUUCUCUCAUCUAAGAAGUCAACUCGGGACUUAGUGAGGCCUUGCUGGGUCUCUCUUGACCCUUUGACUGAGGAGGAUAUAAGAGGGUCACCCAGAGGAGAGAAGCAGAGGCCAAGAAGGAAGCUGGUGCCUGAAAGCUGGAGCUGCCUGGGGGGUCUGGGGGACGCUGCAGGGGCAAGAAAGAGAGAGGUGCUGCUCUGGACCCUCCUGGUUCAAGUUCUCGCCCCUUCUCUCCAGAGGCUGAGCUUAACCCCCAGGCAUAAAUGUGUUCUUGUAAGGUACCACCCAGACAUCCCCACCCAUCCACCCAGAGGGCGUCAGGACUUGGGACGGAAGCCAAUUCUGGAACCAGCAGCCUCCAGCCAGGCCCCGUCAGCUGCAGGAGGCCAACUCAAGCUUCCACCCACACCCGGGAGGCCUCACCUGUCCUCCAGUUCCUGCUGGGCCUCCAGGGCCACUCUGCCCUCCACCAGACUCCAGAGAAGCGCAUAACUGGUGUUGGAGGCGACCAGGGCCCUCCGCGCAGUGGCCUCAAUCUUGGCAGUGGUGUCCCUGUGGCUGUAUGGAAAUGCCCAUUUGACUGUCACCAGGAGCCCAUGCAGAAGGGGGCCUGCGCCCAAAUCCACACCUCCCAGCAUGUGGGACUCCCAUCAUCCCAAAGUCCAGCCCCAAAGGCCAAGUUCUUCUUCUCCCUCUGCUGGACGCACAACAAAGGCUGAUGGGAAGGGACCCACCCAUGCCCCCGUGCCCGUUACAUUGAGUUCAUGCCUGUUGUCCUGGCAUAAUGAUCAUUAGGGCCUCUUAUCACACAAAAAAUCUGAGUUUGGACAAUAACGAUAUGGUCACCCUCAUAAAGACAUCACAGAAGAGAGUGGUCAGGACGGCCUGGGUUUGAAUCCAGGCAGAGGGGCACCUGUGCAGUUGAUCCUGAUCUGGGAACCCGCCCCUCCGCCCCCAAGAAGGACUGGGCUCCCUUCCAGACUGUGUGGGCAAGACCUCACCAGGCUCCCAGGGCCUGGAGCCUCACCUCCUGGCAAGGGCACGGGCCUCGGUGGCCAGGUGGCUCCAGGUGGUGGGCUGGCUGGACCCUUCCUGAGGAAUCACCUUUAGAGAAGAAAUGGAGAGGGGAGGAAGCUGAUGGCCAUCCUUGAAGAGCAAGGGCCCCAUUUGGCUAAAUUCCUGGGCAGAACUAAAUCGUGCCAGUCAUUUUAUAUAUGCUCAAAGGUAGUCUCAAAGUCAGCACCCGGUGAGCAGAUCCCAGAACGUAGAAACAGCAGUAAUGACACCCACCAUUCAUUCGAUGGACAUUCACUCUCCCCCUGGAACAUGCCUUGUUGUAUGCAGACAUUAUCCCAGUAAUCAGCAGAAGGGGCGCUGUGUGACCCCCCCCCCCAUUCCACAGAUGAAACGGAGACUCUCCAAAGAGGCACAGCCCAGCCACUAGGUCACCAGGUGGGCCCAGGACGUCGUACCAGAGAUCUGAGGACAAGGGCCGCCUGCAGAAUCUCCUCCUCUGAAGACUCCAGCACUGCAUCUAGGUCCGCCAGCUGGAUGCAGGUCUUCUCUGUUCCGGCCCGGGCACAGUGGACACUCCUGCUCAGCGUACGCAGCUGCUCCCGGGCAGCCUUCACAGCACCUUCGAGGCCUGUCACCUGCUCCAGGAAGGCUUCCCGGGCUCCUGCAUGAAGCCCGGGUAGAGUCCAGGGUCACAGAGCAGUUGAUGCUUUACAACAAAGCACCCACCUUCGGGGGCCCCCAUCUGUGCCUGGACUCUGCCUGGGCACAGGUUAGCUCUGUCACCAGACUUGAGCACCAACCACCACCAGUCAGCUCCAAGGGAAGAGCCUUGUCAUUUUACAAAUGCCAAGACUGAGGCCCCGAGAAGGCAAAUCACGACCCAAGGCUUCCCACGUAGGAAGUCCGCCACAGAUGAGGGACUGGAAGGAACUCAGGUCUGCUAGAGCCACAACAAGCAAUUCCUGAAUCUGAGACAGCAGAAAUGCCCCCACCUUGAGUCAGCUCUGUGAUCUGCAGUGUGGGUCGGUAUGGUCGUUUUAACACACAGCAUCUGGAAGCUCUCUGUUCUGAUCACUAGUCUUGCUAACAAGUGCUCAGCUUACCUAUGCCUGACUGCUAAAGGAGCAUAAAUGCUUAUGAACAUGAAAUUA
This is a long non-coding RNA of Felis catus (domestic cat), 4375 nucleotides long. RefSeq lists it as uncharacterized. Lineage: Eukaryota; Metazoa; Chordata; Mammalia; Carnivora; Felidae. The record is from RefSeq and is a predicted model, not a curated record. The transcript is spliced from 2 exons.